GGCUCUGUGGUGAAAUUCAUGUUGAGUUGCAAGCUCAUCGAUGUACAUUAAGAGUGUACCGGAGUCU
Molecule: transfer RNA, 67 nt
Filed under: Calidris pugnax (ruff)
Lineage: Eukaryota; Metazoa; Chordata; Aves; Charadriiformes; Scolopacidae
Also listed under: 2 other names
Description: tRNA-Cys
Source: RNAcentral